RNAcentral lists this ribosomal RNA (793 nucleotides) under uncultured archaeon. RNAcentral describes it as "bacterial SSU rRNA". It matches the Rfam family "Archaeal small subunit ribosomal RNA", at positions 85 to 879 of the family's 1478-position model. The record is from RNAcentral.
ACGGCUCAGUAACACGUAGUCAAUCUACCCUAUGGACGGGAAUAACCUCGGGAAACUGAGAAUAAUGCCCGAUAGAACAUUAUGCCUGGAAUGGUUUAUGUUUCAAAUGAUUUAUCGCCAUAGGAUGGGACUGCGGCCUAUCAGUUUGUUGGUGAGGUAAUGGCCCACCAAGACUAUUACAGGUACGGGCUCUGAGAGGAGUAGCCCGGAGAUGGGUACUGAGACACGGACCCAGGCCCUAUGGGGCGCAGCAGGCGAGAAAACUUUGCAAUGUGCGAAAGCACGACAAGGUUAAUCCGAGUGGUUUCUGCUAAAGAAACCUUUUGUCAGUCCUAGAAACACUAACGAAUAAGGGGUGGGCAAGUUCUGGUGUCAGCCGCCGCGGUAAAACCAGCACCUCAAGUGGUCAGGAUGAUUAUUGGGCCUAAAGCAUCCGUAGCCCGUUUUGUAAGUUUUCGGUUAAAUCCAUGCGCUUAACGUAUGGGCUGCCGGGAAUACUGCAUAACUAGGAAGUGGGAGAGGUAGACGGUACUCGGUAGGAAGGGGUAAAAUCCUUUGAUCUAUUGAUGACCACCUGUGGCGAAGGCGGUCUACCAGAACACGUUCGACGGUGAGGGAUGAAAGCUGGGGGAGCAAACCGGAUUAGAUACCCGGGUAGUCCCAGCCGUAAACUAUGCAAACUCAGUGAUGCAUUGGCUUAUGGCCAAUGCAGUGCUGCAGGGAAGCCGUUAAGUUUGCCGCCUGGGAAGUACGUACGCAAGUAUGAAACUUAAAGGAAUUGGCGGGGGAGCAC